Molecule: transfer RNA, 70 nt
Filed under: Camelus bactrianus (Bactrian camel)
Lineage: Eukaryota; Metazoa; Chordata; Mammalia; Artiodactyla; Camelidae
Also listed under: 1 other name
Rfam family: tRNA
About the family: Transfer RNA (tRNA) molecules are approximately 80 nucleotides in length. Their secondary structure includes four short double-helical elements and three loops (D, anti-codon, and T loops).
Source: Rfam by way of RNAcentral
GGGGAUAGCUCAGUGGCAGAGCACAUGCUUAGCAUGCAUGAGGUCCUGGGUUCAAUCCCCGGUACCUCCA